AUUGAACGCUGGCGGCAUGCUUUACACAUGCAAGUCGAACGGUAACAGGCCUUCUGGUGCUGACGAGUGGCGAACGGGUGAGUAAUGCAUCGGAACGUGCCCAGAGGUGGGGGAUAACGCAGCGAAAGCUGUGCUAAUACCGCAUGUGAUCUGAGGAUGAAAGCGGGGGACCAGGCAGCAAUGUUUGGCCUCGCGCCUUUGGAGCGGCCGAUGUCAGAUUAGGUAGUUGGUGGGGUAAAGGCCUACCAAGCCGACGAUCUGUAGCUGGUCUGAGAGGACGACCAGCCACACUGGGACUGAGACACGGCCCAGACUCCUACGGGAGGCAGCAGUGGGGAAUUUUGGACAAUGGGCGCAAGCCUGAUCCAGCAAUGCCGCGUGAGGGAAGAAGGCCUUCGGGUUGUAAACCGCUUUUGUACGGAACGAAAAGGCUCUGGCUAAUACCUGGGGCUGAUGACGGUACCGUAAGAAUAAGCACCGGCUAACUACGUG
This 492-nucleotide ribosomal RNA is filed under the name uncultured bacterium. RNAcentral's name for it is "partial 16S ribosomal RNA". It matches the Rfam family "Bacterial small subunit ribosomal RNA", at positions 30 to 507 of the family's 1533-position model. The record is from RNAcentral.